This is a long non-coding RNA of Rosa rugosa (rugosa rose), 724 nucleotides long. RefSeq lists it as uncharacterized. NCBI's taxonomy places the organism in Eukaryota, Viridiplantae, Streptophyta, Magnoliopsida, Rosales, Rosaceae. The record is from RefSeq and is a predicted model, not a curated record. The transcript has 3 exons.
GAGCUCUCAAUCCGCAAGAGAGACCUGGCGACCCGAUCAUGUGACCCGGCCACAACUCCGGCGUCCGGUCACCCCACGACGGCGAACUGGCACCGUUCUCUUCGUCUUGUCGUCACCGUCACGGUACUGUCCCUAUCUUGAUCGUUCGUCGACUGUGGAGGUCGAAUCGACGCCGAGAAGACCAGACUGCUCCGGUGAUUUCGUGGCAAUUUCCGGCGACUCCGGUCACCGAUUUGUCUGCAUGUGUGCACGGCGGCUUUUCCAAUGCUUCUUGGGCUGACGUUGAUGAUGUUCCUGGUCCUAGAACUUAGAGUGAGGCUUGAUCUUGUUGAAAAGCAGAAGUUGUAUCUAAUUGGAACGAAGAAGAAGAAUCUCGUCGUGGUAGUUUUCAUCUCUGCUGUACUUUUCCCUGCAAGACAGGAUUUGCUUGAAUGAAUAAUCUGCCUUCUAUUUGGUUGGAGAGGUGAGCUGCAUGUCAUUCACGUAACCUUUGGAAUAUAUCAAUUGUGUUGUAGUUGAUUUGUUGGGAGCACACGAGUAGUGUACGUGGAAUCCUGCAUUACUUGGUGUGUGUUUAGAUUGGGUUGUUGCUUUCUGAUUAGAAUUAAAGGUGGUCUAUCUUGAUUGUUAAUUGGACAUGUGAGGUUGAAUUGUACGUGGUGGUUUCCUUUUGCUUGACUAUUGGUCAUGGAAAAUUAACCAGGGCAUGCUAUGAUAUUUUGGA